GGAGAAAAGCAGGGGAUCGCAAGACCUCGCGCUAUUAGAGUGGCCGAUGUCCGAUUAGCUAGUUGGUGGGGUAAAGGCCCACCAAGGCGACGAUCGGUAGCUGGUCUGAGAGGAUGAUCAGCCACACUGGGACUGAGACACGGCCCAGACUCCUACGGGAGGCAGCAGUGGGGAAUUUUGGACAAUGGGCGCAAGCCUGAUCCAGCCAUGCCGCGUGAGUGAAGAAGGCCUUCGGGUUGUAAAGCUCUUUCGGCCGGAACGAAAUCGUCCGGGCUAAUACCUCGGAUGGAUGACGGUACUGGAAGAAGAAGCACCGGCUAACUACGUGCCAGCAGCCGCGGUAAUACGUAGGGUGCAGGCGUUAAUCGGAAUUACUGGGCGUAAAGCGUGCGCAGGCGGCUUCCUAAGUCAGAUGUGAAAUCCCCGGGCUUAACCUGGGAACUGCGUUUGAAACUACAAAGCUAG
RNAcentral lists this ribosomal RNA (465 nucleotides) under Nitrosospira sp. YKU8. RNAcentral's name for it is "bacterial SSU rRNA". It matches the Rfam family "Bacterial small subunit ribosomal RNA", at positions 198 to 644 of the family's 1533-position model. The record is from RNAcentral. Lineage: Bacteria; Pseudomonadati; Pseudomonadota; Betaproteobacteria; Nitrosomonadales; Nitrosomonadaceae.